This 8802-nucleotide long non-coding RNA is filed under the name Xyrichtys novacula (pearly razorfish). Lineage: Eukaryota; Metazoa; Chordata; Actinopteri; Labriformes; Labridae. The record is from RNAcentral.
CCCGGGGUAUCAUAACACCUCACAGCGCCUCCUUUUUUGCAUUAAGCUCAAACCCUUACCCUAACAGAGAGAGACUCUCGGCUUUUCCCCAUAACGACAUCACGUUGCUGCAGUGCUGCACACUCCAUGAGAGGUGUCAGUCGAUUCCUCUGACUGCCAAAAAAGAAACGUGUCCGUGCACUGGUCACUUGGCUGUGGCACCAGACAUCAUGGCGUGACAACAUGUAUUCAUUUCUAUCGGGCUGUUAUUACGCAGGUGGACGCCUGCACGCAUGAGGAGUGGAAGUGAGCUGAACGGACACAGCGAGGAAGAUUUCCUGCCUGCAUUUGCUCUGUGGAAGGAGUGGACGGACCAAGCCAUGUAUGAAAACUAAUUGCUCGCAUGGGUACGCACACUAUUAGAGAAGAAAGAGAGGAAGAAACGGGCUAUCGGCGCAUGGGUGGGAUUCCUUCAUUGCGCUUCACACAGAGGGAAGUUACAGGAAAACAGGCGCUGUAGUGUUCAAGAAAACUGGUGCGGAGUUUGAUCGACCUUCGCGAUUUUUUUUUUUUUGACGGACUUGCAGCCUGAAACUGACGCCACAACCUUCAACCGUCAGAGGCUUUUAUUUUGGAAAGCGCGCAGACCCAUCGCAGCAGCCGGACUGCAGUUUUCUCCUCCGUCCUGACACCAGCACCAGCAGCAGCAGCAGCACUGCGAUUCAUAAGGAGCCUUACAGGGAAUUUAACCUACCCCAUUCUUCCUCUUCUAAACCCUUAACGCGGAGGUGGGGAGACUUGAUGCGUCGCGUAUUGACGCUUUAACCCCCUUUGAACGCGGCUCGGACGCUUCAAGCAAGCCCCCGGACUCUCCUCAGCUCUUUUUUUUUUGGAUUUUUCUUUUCUAUUUCGGAGGUGUGGGGGGGAUUUUCAGCUUCACGUUUUCUGCCUUUUACGUCUCAAUCGGAUCGUACUGGGAUUUAAGGUGGGGUUUGAUCAUAUCGUGAUGCAGGUAACUGGAAGAUAUCCCACUGUCUGUUGUUGAUGACACUUCAAUUCAGCGGCAGAUUGUCGCCCAUCACGUCCCUUGGAUUUUUUUUACAUUUAUCUUCAACAACACUAACCCCCCCACCAGAUCCAUGUAAUGAUACAGCUUUUCUUGCGCGUCAAUUUGGAAUAAAUGAACUCCGUCUGAGACUCGGCGUGAAUUUUAACCAGCGAGACACGCGCGUGGACGGCGGAAAUGAUGUGCAAUAGGAUCGAGCUGUCGGCAUCUGCUUUAUUAGUCCUACUUUUGGUAAGUCACUUGGUUGACUUGGUGCUGAAAUGUGCAAUGGACUUUGCCCUCCUGGCGCAUGUGUGGAUAAAUGCUGUGAUCUGUGAUGUGGCGCAUACAAUGUGCAAAAAUGAAGAAUAAUAGAUAGAUAGAUAGAUAGAUCAUAAUGCAGGCCUAUCUAUCUAUCUAUCUAUCUAUCUAUCUAUCUAUCUAUCUAUCUAUCUAUCUUGAUUCCUUCUGUCUUGCAUAAUGUGCAAAUCUUUGCUCUACUUUAAAGGCAGCCAUUCCCUCUAGUCUGCUGGAUAAUAUGAUAUCUGUCUAGCUGAGAUGUUUUCAGCCUUCUUGAGAUCUUCCCUCCUCACGUGGUGGAGGCACUUAUUGAUAGUGUUAGUGCUGUUAGAUGCAGUCUGAUGGGCCCUGAAAACAGCCCUGAUGACUGUAGCCGCCUCUGUGCCUCCUUUUACUGUUGCAAUGAAGACGCUCAGACGUAUGACACAUGGCUUAAAUUCCCAGGGACCAGAGGGAAGGAGUGCAUGUUGGAAAUGGCCCGGGCGUGUCUGCAUCAGCAUGAAGCAGACACCGAGGCUCUUCAUAAAUUAGCAGCAGCAGCAGCACUGAAAUCCUCCCAUCAGAUCGGUAGAUUGCUCUGAUUGCAGAGAGCGAGAGUGGACGUUUUUACUGUGGAGCCACAGAGCUUGAAUUAUGAAGGGAACUUGUUAGUGUCCCUGUGAGCGGAGUUUAAAAGCAUAUAUUGAGGUGAUUAUUUUGUUUUUUACGAGGAGCAGAGGCCUCAGCGGUGUUCCUGCACACUGUGCGUAUAUGUGUGUGUGUGUGUGUGUGUGUGGAAUAGAGGGGCAGCAGCACAUCAUCCUAUUUUAGACAAUCAGCUAAGCAGGUUUGGAGAUGAUAAAAGGGAUAGGGAAGCACUGAUGCAGCAUGAUAAUGAUCUCAUGGGCGCUGUGAGUGAACACUGGCAAUUAUGUGUUUUUUUUUUUAGCAGCUCUCAUCAGUUUCAGGUUAACUCAGAAAGCUCAGCCUCUUCUGAUUCAGCUCAGCAUUUGUAGGAAGUUUGUUGCACUCUACUCUCGGCGGCGCCCCGAGUCCAGAGAGGUCAGCGUCUGGCCUACAGAAAUAUGUGUCUAUCACUCAGAGGCCAACAGAUGAGGAGAAACAAGGGUGCAAGAUGCCUGUGUGGAGGUUGUAAGUCUAUUAGAUUAAGGUGGGGUUGGAUGUCAAUAUGCUUAAAGUGAAGUGAAGUGAACCUCUCUCAUAUAGCUCGGCUUUAUCCGCAUAAUACCUUUAGAAACAUCCCCAGGGGAAGGUGUAGGCACUGACCGGCCGUGUUGCUACAUCAGGGCGUGCAGUGAGUGCUGCUGCAGCUUCCAGUGCUGGAAGAAAACACAGAGUACCAGCUGCAUCUACAGUAUACACCCUUUUUACUCUGACUGAGCCCGAGGACUCUCUGUGCAUGUGCUCCUAAAACGCUGGAAGAGAUAGUACCACUUCCCUCGUCGCUGUCCGCUGAAAUCAUCCUGAAAGAUGAGAAAUGAAAGUUGUCACAAGGUCUUGGCUUUGGUCCACACUCUGACAGAUGCCUACAAUGUCCACGAGCAAGGAAAACAUACUGUAUACGUCACAUAUGAGCAUUCUGUUCUCCAAAAAUAAAAGCACAAGCAGCUAGCUCAGGGGCACGACUCACUGUUCCUGUGUAGUGGGAAUAAGAUGAACCCCGUGGUUUUGUCUGUGUGGGUAAAUUGAAAUUCUGUUCGAUUAAAGCUGUUCAUCUGGUAGAGUUCAACUUGGAAACAGAGGUUAACGAUGUAUUUCUUCGCAGAGCUGACACUCUUGAGCUUAAUUGGAUUUGAAAUCCUAGUUUUUAUGUUUUUAGAUGCCUUUUACGAGCCGCGUGUCGCAAGUGUUAACGAUCAGGUCUUUAGCUUGUCAGUGUGUUGCAGGAUGUUACAGCAGCAGCUUAGAGCACUCACUGUCAUGUGUUGGCUUAAUGAAAUCAGGCAGGAUAGUCAUUAUCAUUAUCAUGCAUUAUUGCCAACACUUCCGUGUUCAGCAAUGCUACUGCAGGCAGGAAGCCCACUGCAGAGCAAAUUCAUAUCUCAGCAGGUUAUGCAUGGAAUAAAGUGACAAUGGCACGUGUGCAGAGGUGUCUGCUUUCUAGGUUGCCAUUUACAGACUGUGGGGGGAGAUUAAUGGGCUCUCUCUUCCUUGCCAUUCUGUUGCAUUGUGUUACAGCAGCUGCUCACAAUGCCGGUGUCAUGUGUUUUGCAUUAUGAAAUCAGGACCAGAGGAGGGUUAUCAGCCAUCCCAGCAAUAGGAGAAUGAGGACAUGCACGAGCUAUUGAUCUGUAUUUUGAAGCAUAAAAGGCUCCAUAGCAGAUUGUAUGAACCUGGUUUUGUUCUCUAUUCAAGGCAUAUUAAAAUAGCUGUUUACUGUGAGUCAUGCUUGCACAUUGACAUUUGCAGAAUUUACACAUUUGCUCCAAAGACGACUGUUAUUUUAAGCAGCUCAAAGCUUAAUUUGAAGGUUCAGAACAGUGUGCAGUGGGUGACUUUCAGCAUGCAUGAUUUUCAGUCAGUUUGGAAGACAAUUACGUUCAAUAUUGGAGAAGCUUACAGCGAUGACUGCUGUUUUAAGGCGCAGAAAGAUGAGUCAGAUCUUUAAUUUAGAGAAAAAUACUUUGAUAAUUCUGAGGAGGGUCAUUACAGGCACUUCUGCACAACCGAGAAAAGAAUCAGAUAUUCCGAUGGCAUUAAGAUGCAAUGAACUAGACUGAUAAGCAGCAGUCUACAAGCCCAAACUUUAAUUUCUCGAAUUCUGGACUUUGCAUGCAGAGUGAAACCAGUCAAGUGUAAUUAAGUUGUUAUCAGUAGACAGGAUGAGCGAUGUCUUUCCCAAGGCAAGUCGAGUUAUUUAGCGCUCAAGACGCAUGAAAAACGUGGGGGAAGAGCGUAAUUACAAGUAGCCAAAAAGAUCAAAGGAGUAGCCACCAAUGCACUGAAGCAAUUUAACCACGGCUGUCCUAAGAAUCCAUUUUUCAAGUUAGCCGGUAAUAAAGCGUCAGGAAAAAAAGCAAAGGUGCACUCUGAGCGCUGAACACUGGAAGUAAAUAACACACAGGCCUCAAGAGGCAUAAAACACUUUCCAACUUUACUGCAUUAUGAAUUUCAAUGGGAGCGAAAGGUAAGAGCUCUAAAAUACUACACUAAAAGGUUACUGUGUUACUUAUAUGUGUGUACAGUAUAGAUGACCCUGUCUCUUAACUCAUCAGGAAGAAAGAAGAGAUAACUUGACUUUGUUCGAGGAGACGCAAAAUACUUUGGUGCGGCAAGUAGGGCAUAAUAUCCCCUCAAAGCAUGACGGUCUCGGGUUUGAUUGCAUUAAUGAGCUCACACUGUUCCUGUGCAUGAGAGUGAGUAAAUCAAACUAAUGUUAGAUUUCACUGUAGACUCUGAACCCUCGGUUUAAGGUGAAUGUGACUCCAUUAGCCUGUGUCAGACUCGUGUCCAGUUCCCGUUGCCGGUUUUAUAAUAGGAUUCACUGUCGCCCUCCAUUUUCAACACAGGACAAACAGUGCUGAAGAAAUAGUGGGAUGAACAACAUUAUAUUUGCCUUUAAGUGACUCUGUUUGCACAACAAAUGCUAUACAGUCAAUGAAUCACGCUUGCACACUCUUGUUUGCGAGUGUUUAGAAGAUUGAAAAGAGAUAAAUUGCCCAGAACUGCAUUAAAAGCAAAGCAGCAGCAAAUUCCCCCAAACCUUUGAAACAUUAAAGUGCAGGGAGCCAUUCGUAUUCUGACUCUGUAACCUUUGGAAGCACUGAUUGCUUCAUGGCUCCUUUUAUCUCAGAGGCUUUUCACCCCUCACACAUCUGAGCAGUACGUCUGAGUAAGGAAAAGCGUCAUUUAUUGUCACAGACUAUGAACAUGUGCCUGAGGCGUGCCCGUCAGCCGCAGCUAAGUCGCUGUUGUUUGUCUUGGACAAUGAUGGAUAAAACAGGUGAGCAUGGGAAGCGCCGGUGCUUACGGACUGACCUGCUCUGCGCCUCAUGAUGAGAGCCUCAUGUAAAAUGGAGCAACAGGGCGUGAGCAGAAUGUACAAUAGGGGCUGGGUGUAUUGAAGAGUCCUUUUUAGAGACUAGCUGUUCUUGCACAGAUCUGCAGGAGGUUAGAAAGCUAAUUCUCCCAGGGGCACGACACAGGUUGUGCUAUGAUAUUGAGCAUCCAGCUGUUGGUAAGCAGGAAUUACAAUCCUAACAUAUUCACCUUGUGUAGAUCGGCUAAAGUCCUUACGAAACUGGGAGCAACCCUAUCACCUGCUGCAGAUCAUUCGAAGUGUACUGGUGUGUUACAUUUCAGUAUACUCUUAUCCCCUCAGAUCUUCACUGCGGUAUCAGCCAGUCGCCUUUCUCUGUGUUGACACGGGUAAGAAAAUCGUUGGUGGCAUCUGUCUCCCUGAAGAGCGCCUGUUGUGCGGUCUCUCUGCGGCUGUGUCAGCCUCAAACCGCUGGCCCUGACACUGUAUGUCAGAGCUUUUAUACGGUCAUUUAAAUAAAGUGACGUGAUAUCAUUAUGUAAACAAGACACAACGGCUAAGUGCGGCGUUAUGGGGAAACUCACAGUGAUGUCUUAAACUGCAGCUUAUGGUCUUCUUGUGCUGUUUACUUGAAGGUGACAUUGAUUUAGAUCAUGCUUUCAGUAGCUGCAUCUGGUCAUAUUGAUCAAUAUCUUCUGCUAGAGCAGCAUUUCCUUUGGCUCUCCUGAGAAAGCCAAUUUAGAGAGAUACAAGCACUCAUAGCGAAUUUCAAACGCACAUGAACACUAUCUUUCCCACAGUGUCUUUAAAUAAUGCAUAAGAACGAUAUAUUAUUGUGCAGCGCUCACUACCACAGGUCCUACUAGUCCUUUUAAGGCCUCAUCUUUAAACUUAGAAGCCUCGGACAGAGUGUAGUGCAUUUAAUCCACUAUUCAUUCGUCACUGAGGCAUUAGGAAAAAGAUAAUGCCGCCAUGAAUUACUCCUACUGAACAUGCCACUGUGAUGAGAGAUCAUUUUGUCCUUGCAUAUUGAUUUGUUUGUCAGAAAGUCGUACGGCGGGCUUUUCAUCAGCCUGAGAUGUCUAACUCUGCUGCCUAUUAGAGGCUGGAAGACUGCUGAAGCAUUAACUAUUCCAGUGAAGUGAACGCUUAAGAGCCUCAACCUUCACAUUGUGUUUUCUCUGUUUGGUUGAACGCCUGGCUUUAAUAGAGAUGCAUGCAUAAUCUAGCACCCCAGAGCAAUAACAAAAGAGACUGCGGAUGAUAUUUUGUAGCUGACCAUAUUUUUAUCUCCGAGUGUGUCGGGAUGUUGUUCCAGGAAAGUUCUGCGAUCUGGAAGUGUUUCAGUGGAUACGCAUCAGUGUACCACACCAGUACGCCAUCUGGUCUAAUCAUUUUGAACACAGCAAAUCCAUCAUAGACUGUAUCCAAAAAGUGGACAAAGCUUCUCAGUGUCCAAAGUGUGGAAAAUGCAGGGGAAUGCCUUGAGCCUGUGGUCCGGGGGAACUCCAGUAGUUGCAAAAAUACCGACAAAUAAAUGCUUUCAUUCACACUUGGGGGUAAGAGUUCAUAUUUGAGCUGUAAGAUUUUAGUAUAGCAGCGAAUCAGCCCUUUCAAAGUAGUUUGCCCUGUGAUCCUGUAUGAGGGCACUCUCGUCGUAACCUGACUAUGCAUGCACUGGUGACCCUCAGGAAGUAAAUACAGUGAUAUUUUUCCAUAAAACUGGAGAACAUGUGUAAGCCAAACUGUCCUAAGCAGACAAUUACUACAUCAUCUGAAAAGUGCCAUCUAGUGUUAUGCAAAUACUCAAAAUCAGAUGUAUAUCAUAGCGCACUUAUUGUCUGUAAUGUACUAGAGGGUAUUUGAAUGUAUUUGAACACCAGGAUGUCAUGUUCUGGAUUAGUUCAAGCUUGAUUUUCAUAAAAAGUGACAGCCCUAACCUCUAAUCCUAACCAAGCUCGAGUGAAAUCAUCUACUCUCUUAAUUCGCUAGAAUCUAGACGCGUGAAUGAAGAGUAUUUACUCGCUUCAUUCGCACCUCAAUGGUGAAUUCACUGGUAAUCCCUGCCAAUUCAACCGGCGGGAUCAAGUGAUAGGCAAAGGUCUUUUACAAUUUACCAUGUAAUCCGACCUCUUCACUGACUUGCCUCAAGGCAAGCUCCUUUUUAUUCUGGUUUCAGUAAUUGAAAGAAAAGGUAGCGUAUAAAUUGGGGCACCCACACACCGACACGAUCAGUUUGUCCUCUAUUUUAGAUACCAGUGACCAACCGUCCAUUUUCAUACCUCACCUGGCAACCUUUGUGCUGAUUAGUUAUCGAAUGUCCACUCAAGUUGAGACAUUUUCAGCUCCUGCCCCAAUCUCGUCAUUUGCACUGCCAGAAUAGUAGGAGCUUCUAAUUGCGUCUUUACAUUGCCUAAACAUGUCAUCCAUUUGUGCGAAUUAUUGGUGUGUGGAGACAGUAAGAGCACUUAUUACUUCACUCCGAAUUUUUCUGCUGACUUAUUUUCCAAACCAACACUUUUCAGUCUUCUUCAACACAUCAUGAUGUUGAUUUGAGAGAUAGUCAUCUCAAGUUGUACAUAAACUUGACAUUCAAUCAAUAAACUGUAUACCUCAGGGUAUGGCUGAGUGGGAUUGACAAGUUGCUACCUUUUGAUGCUUUUUUAUGGGGGUUUUAAUCCUUUUUUUAUCCGUUAUUGGGCAGCACUUAAACUAGUAUGGAUGCUUGACUUGACUUGAAAUUAUAAGCCAAGUUCCCCAAAAUCAAGACAGCAACAGCUUAAAUGUCAAAAAUGUCAAACCAGGACUUCAGCAAAUGGGGUUCAGAAACCGGUAGAUGAUAUUUCAGUGGCUUAGUCCACUUUUCAAGACAGUCUAUCAUAUUAUCUCUUUGGCCUUAUGUAGAGUAAUGAAUUUUACAUCAAAACCUCUAGAUUUGGUGGCUGUUAUCGAUUCUUGAUGGUUAAAUGUAAAUUAUAAUUCCAUAGGACAGAUCGAAAAGAUAAUUGAGUACAAGUUGAUAUCUCUUUUCCUUAGCUCAAAGGUAAAUAGCCUUUAAAAUUAGGGGACACUUCUAUGGGCAUAUUUCUAUUUCUAUAAUGAGGGAAUCAAGUAACCCGUGUCAUUAACACUGCAUGACCUCUGUGAUCCACCAUCGUGCAGAAAAUUGUGGCCAUUAACUAAUCAGGCCAUGGUUAAUUUUGAGCUCUUUUCACCGCCUAAGAGUCACGAGGAACUGAAGUAGAUCCCUGCGGACUGAGUCCUUGUCAUUCAAUCCAUAAUCAAAAAACCACUGAACACCGAGGUGCCGAGUUUCUUGCUGUCAGAGCCCGCAAACAAACAAUGGUGGAAAAAUUCAAACGGCCUUGAUUAAAUCUCACCACCUAAUCUUUAAGUCUGUUAUUGCUGCCUCUCUGCUGCAUUCGUAUUAUUCUCCCUACUUGAUCAUCGCAAACAUGCACAGCUUCAGGGACCUGAAAGAAAACAGCAGCCACAGAAA